AAAAACUAUGUUUACCGUCAUGGAGAUUCUUAUAGUAGCAGAAAGGGAAUUUUAACUCCCAUUUCUAAGUUCGGUAUGUGGUGAAGCAGUUAGCUGAACCCUAAUUAUAAUUAUAUCUGUUACCUCGUGUGU
This is a long non-coding RNA of Octopus sinensis (East Asian common octopus), 132 nucleotides long. RefSeq lists it as uncharacterized. The transcript has 3 exons. The record is from RefSeq and is a predicted model, not a curated record. Lineage: Eukaryota; Metazoa; Mollusca; Cephalopoda; Octopoda; Octopodidae.